ACCCCAACUUCACCUCGGCCUCAAGCACAACCUAGCCCAUCUAUGGUGGGUCAUCAACAGCCAACUCCAGUUUAUACUCAGCCUGUUUGUUUUGCACCAAAUAUGAUGUAUCCAGUCCCAGUGAGCCCAGGCGUGCAACCUUUAUACCCAAUACCUAUGACGCCCAUGCCAGUGAAUCAAGCCAAGACAUAUAGAGCAGGUAAAGUACCAAAUAUGCCCCAACAGCGGCAAGACCAGCAUCAUCAGAGUGCCAUGAUGCACCCAGCGUCAGCAGCGGGCCCACCGAUUGCAGCCACCCCACCAGCUUACUCCACGCAAUAUGUUGCCUACAGUCCUCAGCAGUUCCCAAAUCAGCCCCUUGUUCAGCAUGUGCCACAUUAUCAGUCUCAGCAUCCUCAUGUCUAUAGUCCUGUAAUACAGGGUAAUGCUAGAAUGAUGGCACCACCAACACACGCCCAGCCUGGUUUAGUAUCUUCUUCAGCAACUCAGUACGGGGCUCAUGAGCAGACGCAUGCGAUGUAUGGUAGGAAGCACUUUGUUUGUCUCUUCCAGUGUGUGUGACUCUUCUUAAUUUAAGUUUCUGAAAACAUACUCUAUCUAAGAAUAACCUGACCUUUUAUGACAUUGAGGGUCAAGAAUCUGAAGGAAAAGAUGAACCCAUUUCUUUGCCUGACUUGCUUUAUAACUUUUGGCAAAUAGUUUCUACUUCUGUACCUGGUCUUCAGAUCUCUUUCCUGCUUUAACUAAAAUGUAAUGAUGUAUAUAAUGGCAAAGCAUCUUUGUGGAGAAAGGUACCUUUCUCCUCUUCCUCAU
This 813-nucleotide long non-coding RNA is filed under the name Homo sapiens (human). Its description in RNAcentral is "non-protein coding lnc-FAM109A-5:2". The record is from RNAcentral. Lineage: Eukaryota; Metazoa; Chordata; Mammalia; Primates; Hominidae.